RNAcentral lists this long non-coding RNA (740 nucleotides) under Ananas comosus (pineapple). Its description in RNAcentral is "long non-coding RNA (ACOM_LNC042712)". The record is from RNAcentral. Lineage: Eukaryota; Viridiplantae; Streptophyta; Magnoliopsida; Poales; Bromeliaceae.
AUUUUAACUUCUUAAUUGAGAUUUCCAUUAGGGUGCGUUUGGUUUGUGUUAUAUUUUUAAGAUUCCUAAUAAUCUAAUAGAAAUAAUAAAAUAUGACGGUGUUUGGCUAAACGCAUUAAGUAAUCUAAUUGGUAAUAUUAUAUUUACUUGGGAAUGAGAUUUAUCCCAAAGUACAAAUCUCAUUCCCUUGAGAGAGGGUGGGUAUCCUCAUAUUAAUGAAUUGAGGUAAUCAUAAUAUGUCUAAUAUCUUUCUUUCUUCCAAUCCGCCAGUUAGUUGGUAUUAUUUUUCUUUACACUCUAACCUCAUAUCUCUCUCUAAACUUCAACUCUUUUUCUCUCUCUAAACUAAGCUCGCUCUCCCCCUUUUUCCUAAAAUCUCAAUUCUCUCACUCCCUCUAAUCCCGAUUCUAUUUCUUUUCCUAUUUUUGUAAUUAUGCUUUCUCUCUCUAACCUAUGUUCUCUCUCCUUUUUUUUCUAAAAAGAUGUUAAAAUUUAUUGUAGCAUUAUCUAAAAUUAAUUAAAGAAAUAAAUAAAUUAAUUGUAUAUUUUUUUGUAAUCUUAAAUAACAUGAUUAAAUAAUAUGACCAUACGAACCAAAGACAGUAAUACCAUAUUCUUAGUAAUAGGAUGAGUAUGAAUAAAAUUCUCUGAUAUUUUUUUAUUCCUAGUAAUCUUUCAUAGUGCCAACCAAACGUACCCUUAACUUUUUAAAUUUUUAUUCAAGUUUUUAUAGUUAAUUA